This 253-nucleotide ribosomal RNA is filed under the name uncultured bacterium. Its description in RNAcentral is "partial 16S ribosomal RNA". It matches the Rfam family "Bacterial small subunit ribosomal RNA", at positions 524 to 776 of the family's 1533-position model. The record is from RNAcentral.
UACAGAGGGUGCAAGCGUUGUUCGGAAUUACUGGGCGUAAAGCGCGUGUAGGUGGCGAUGUAAGUCGGGUGUGAAAUCCCUUGGCUCAACCAAGGAAGUGCACUCGAUACUGUGUCGCUUGAGUACUGGAGGGGAUGGCGGAAUUCCCGGUGUAGAGGUGAAAUUCGUAGAUAUCGGGAGGAACACCAGUGGCGAAGGCGGCGACCUGGGCCAAUACUGACGCUGAGGUGCGAAAGCGUGGGGAGCAAACAGG